UCUGUAAGACUUCAAAUAGUCUUCUAUAUAAGAUAUAAUAGAGCGAAAACUUUUAAUCCGACUUAAACAUUUUAGGUGGUAGUUAGGCCCAAGAGCUUAAGAGAGUUAAACGCGCUAGAACAUGAGUAGUCCUAGGAUGGGUAACUUUCUGGAAAGUUAGGGCGUCACAGUUGGUAUCAGAGUCAAUUGCCAGCCGGAAGUUUGAGAUGAAUUUCGGUUGAAUCAUGAUUGUACAGCGGAGAGAGCGAGACUUUCAUACUGUUGGCUGUUGUGGGUAGAGCGCGGCUCACCACAAAGGUCAAUUUAGGCUAGAAAGACGAGUCUCACAUCGCCUGAUACUUGUAAGGACGUCAGGGCUUAAGAGAAGAGGGGAAAUAUGUGAGACCCCUGAUAAAUUCUAUAUAUAAGAUAUAAUAGGACUAAAACUCUUAACCCAAUUUAAACAUUAUGAACGGUGACUGAAGUGUCACAUUAUCUCCUCCCCUUAAAAUGCACGGAUGAUCCUUUUAAUAUGCCCAUACGGCAAUUUGAUUCUUAGGGGGUGUUUGGCCUAGCUUUUAAAAAGCGCUUUUGGGCUGAAAGUGAUUUUCGGCUCAAUAGAGCGUUUGGUAACUCACUUUUAAAAUCUGAUUCUGCUUUUUAAAAUCAGAAAACUGAUUUUGAAGGCUCCAGAAUCAUAUGCAGAAAAAAGCUGCUUCUUGAAAUCUGAUUCUGAUUUUGAAUUUAAACUUCAAAUUUUUAUUUUUAUUUUAAUUUCAAUAUUUAAAUUUAAAUUUAAUUUUAAAUUUUAAUUUUCAGAUUCAUUUUUGAAUUUUUAAAUUU
This 822-nucleotide long non-coding RNA is filed under the name Ananas comosus (pineapple). RNAcentral's name for it is "long non-coding RNA (ACOM_LNC016209)". The record is from RNAcentral. Lineage: Eukaryota; Viridiplantae; Streptophyta; Magnoliopsida; Poales; Bromeliaceae.